GAUUAUGGCUCAGGAUGAACGCUGGCGGCGUGCCUAACACAUGCAAGUCGAGCGGAGAUAAGUUGAAGCCUAGCGAUUCUUAUCUUAGCGGCGGAUGGGUGAGUAACACGUGGGUAACCUGCCCUGUACUGGGGAAUAACAGCUGGAAACGGCUGUUAAUGCCGCAUAUGCGCACGGAGCCGCAUGACUCCGGGCGGAAAGAUUUAUCGGUACAGGAUGGGCCCGCGCCGGAUUAACUAGUUGGCGGGGUAACGGCCCACCAAGGUGAUGAUCCGUAGCCGACCUGAGAGGGUGACCGGCCACAUUGGGACUGAGACACGGCCCAAACUCCUACGGGAGGCAGCAGUGGGGAUAUUACACAAUGGGGGAAACCCUGAAUGCAGCGACGCCGCGUGAAGGAUGACGUAUUUCGGUAUGUAAACUUCUAUCAGCGGGGAAGAAGAUGACGGUACCCGACUAAGAAGCCCCGGCUAACUACGUGCCAGCCGCCGC
This 492-nucleotide ribosomal RNA is filed under the name uncultured bacterium. RNAcentral's name for it is "bacterial SSU rRNA". It matches the Rfam family "Bacterial small subunit ribosomal RNA", at positions 15 to 518 of the family's 1533-position model. The record is from RNAcentral.